Molecule: ribosomal RNA, 338 nt
Filed under: uncultured bacterium
Lineage: Bacteria
Description: bacterial SSU rRNA
Rfam family: Bacterial small subunit ribosomal RNA
Source: RNAcentral
UGAGGAAUAUUGGACAAUGGAUGGAAAUCUGAUCCAGCCAUGCCGCGUGCAGGAAGACGGUCCUAUGGAUUGUAAACUGCUUUAGCAUGGGAGCAAUAAGGUGUACGCGUACACCGAUGAGAGUACCAUGAGAAUAAGCAUCGGCUAACUCCGUGCCAGCAGUCGCGGUAAUACGGAGGAUGCGAGCGUUAUCCGGAUUUAUUGGGUUUAAAGGGUGCGUAGGCGGACGAUUAAGUCAGCGGUGAAAGCGUGUGGCUCAACCAUACCACUGCCGUUGAUACUGGUUGUCUUGAGUGUAAACGAGGUAGGCGGAAUGUGAUGUGUAGCGGUGAAAUGCU